This 507-nucleotide ribosomal RNA is filed under the name uncultured bacterium. Its description in RNAcentral is "bacterial SSU rRNA". It matches the Rfam family "Bacterial small subunit ribosomal RNA", at positions 975 to 1482 of the family's 1533-position model. The record is from RNAcentral.
CAACCCUUGACAUGCCCGGUCGGUUUCCAGAGAUGGAUUCCUCCCAGCAAUGGGCCGGGACACAGGUGCUGCAUGGCUGUCGUCAGCUCGUGUCGUGAGAUGUUGGGUUAAGUCCCGCAACGAGCGCAACCCUCGCCCUUAGUUGCCAUCAUUUAGUUGGGCACUCUAAGGGGACUGCCGGUGAUAAGCCGGAGGAAGGUGGGGAUGACGUCAAGUCCUCAUGGCCCUUACGGGCUGGGCUACACACGUGCUACAAUGGCGGUGACAGAGGGAUGCAAAGGGGCAACCCUUCGCAAAUCUCAAAAAUCCGUCUCAGUUCGGAUUGGGGUCUGCAACUCGACCCCAUGAAGUUGGAAUCGCUAGUAAUCGCAGAUCAGCACGCUGCGGUGAAUACGUUCCCGGGCCUUGUACACACCGCCCGUCACACCAUGGGAGUUGGCUUUACCUGAAGACGGUGCGCUAACCGCAAGGAAGCAGCCGGCCACGGUAGGGUCAGCGACUGGGGUG